This 457-nucleotide long non-coding RNA is filed under the name Androctonus crassicauda. The record is from RNAcentral. Lineage: Eukaryota; Metazoa; Arthropoda; Arachnida; Scorpiones; Buthidae.
GUUCAACAUGCUUUAGGAUUUGAUGAUGUCUUUUUCUGUGGCUUUUCUGCACUUCAUUAUAACAAUGCCUUUCUAUACUACUUUGGUAGCAUUGCUAAGAUAUCUUCUUUAUUUGCUGGUCUUAGUUCUAUUUGUCUCAAUUGAUCUCUUGGUUUAUAUAAUUCCCCAAAGAAUAUUGCUAUUUUUCCACUAUAUUGUUGAUGACACUCCAUUACUUUUUGAUCACAGUUAGUUGGCAUUUGCCAGUCAUUAUGUCCCACCUUGCUAAUUGGAGGCUAAUACUGUUUUCACUGGUCAUUUGAAUCUGUAUGUAUUUUGUAUCUUCUUUGGUUUUCUUUCAUACUUUGCAUAUUUCUAUAUAUUCUGUGUGAUCAAUAGAGGAUUUGGUUUUCAUUUUCCUUCUCUUUUCAAUCAGCUCUUAUGUUUUGAUAGAUAUUUUCUUGACAGGAUUUCUUGG